AUCUAUGGACAUACCACCCUGAAGCCCGAUCUCCUCUGUUCUCCAAAGCUAAACAGGGUCCGGCCUGAUUAGAACUUGGAUGAGAAAAAGUGAAGAGGCCAGAGUCA
Capra hircus (goat) is the source of this 107-nucleotide ribosomal RNA. The record is from Ensembl. NCBI's taxonomy places the organism in Eukaryota, Metazoa, Chordata, Mammalia, Artiodactyla, Bovidae.